Molecule: ribosomal RNA, 253 nt
Filed under: uncultured bacterium
Lineage: Bacteria
Description: partial 16S ribosomal RNA
Rfam family: Bacterial small subunit ribosomal RNA
Source: RNAcentral
UACGGAGGGUGCGAGCGUUAAUCGGAAUAACUGGGCGUAAAGGGCACGCAGGCGGGCUUUUAAGUGAGAUGUGAAAUCCCCUGGCUUAACCUGGGAAUAGCAUUUCAGACUGGGAGUCUAGAGUUCUUUAGGGAGGGCUAGAAUUCCACGUGUAGCGGUGAAAUGCGUAGAGAUGUGGAGGAAGACCGAAGGCGAAGGGAGCCCCUUGGGAAUGUACUGACGCUCAUGUGCGAAAGCGUGGGGAGCAAACAGG